This 493-nucleotide ribosomal RNA is filed under the name uncultured bacterium. RNAcentral describes it as "bacterial SSU rRNA". It matches the Rfam family "Bacterial small subunit ribosomal RNA", at positions 30 to 511 of the family's 1533-position model. The record is from RNAcentral.
AUUGAACGCUGGCGGCAGGCCUAACACAUGCAAGUCGAACGGUAGCACAGGAGAGCUUGCUCUCUGGGUGACGAGUGGCGGACGGGUGAGUAAUGCAUGGGGAGCUGCCCAAUCGAGGGGGAUACCAGCUGGAAACGGCUGCUAAUACCGCAUACGCCCUGAGGGGGAAAGGUGGGGACCUUCGGGCCUACCGCGAUUGGAUGCACCCAUGUGGGAUUAGCUAGUUGGUGAGGUAACGGCUCACCAAGGCGACGAUCUCUAGCUGGUCUGAGAGGAUGACCAGCCACACUGGAACUGAGACACGGUCCAGACUCCUACGGGAGGCAGCAGUGGGGAAUAUUGCACAAUGGGGGAAACCCUGAUGCAGCCAUGCCGCGUGUGUGAAGAAGGCCUGAGGGUUGUAAAGCACUUUCAAUAGGAAGGAAUACCUAUCGGCGAAUACCCGGUAGACUGACAUUACCUAUACAAGAAGCACCGGCUAACUCCGUGCCAG